GACGAACGCUGGCGGCGUGCUUAACACAUGCAAGUCGAGCGGUAAGGCCCUUUCGGGGGUACACGAGCGGCGAACGGGUGAGUAACACGUGGGUGACCUGCCCUCAGCUCUGGGAUAAGCCUGGGAAACCGGGGUCUAAUACUGGAUAUGACUCCAUGACGCAUGUUGUGGGGUGGAAAGCCUUGUGCGGCUGAGGAUGGGCCCGCGGCCUAUCAGCUUGCUGGUGGGGUGAUGGCCUACCAAGGCGACGACGGGUAGCCGGCCUGAGAGGGCGACCGGCCACACUGGGACUGAGACACGGCCCAGACUCCUACGGGAGGCAGCAGUGGGGAAUCUUGCGCAAUGGGCGAAAGCCUGACGCAGCGACGCCGCGUG
Molecule: ribosomal RNA, 375 nt
Filed under: uncultured bacterium
Lineage: Bacteria
Description: bacterial SSU rRNA
Rfam family: Bacterial small subunit ribosomal RNA
Source: RNAcentral